GAUGAACGCUGGCGGCGCGCCUAAUACAUGCAAGUCGAGCGAGAAGACGUAGCAAUACGUUUGUAAAGCGGCGAACGGGUGAGGAAUACAUGGGUAACCUACCCUCGAGUGGGGAAUAACUAGCCGAAAGGUUAGCUAAUACCGCGUACGCUCCUUGGACUUCGGUUCAGGGAGGAAAGCGAUACCGUGGGUAUCGCGCUCUUGGUUGGGCUCAUGUCCUAUCAGCUUGUUGGUGAGGUAACGGCUCACCAAGGCUUCGACGGGUAGCUGGUCUGAGAGGACGAUCAGCCACACUGGCACUGCGACACGGGCCAGACUCCUACGGGAGGCAGCAGUAAGGAAUAUUGCGCAAUGGGCGAAAGCCUGACGCAGCGACGCCGCGUGGGGGA
This 389-nucleotide ribosomal RNA is filed under the name uncultured bacterium. Its description in RNAcentral is "bacterial SSU rRNA". It matches the Rfam family "Bacterial small subunit ribosomal RNA", at positions 28 to 408 of the family's 1533-position model. The record is from RNAcentral.